CUGGGUGACGCUGCAGUACGCAGACCUGAGGGAGAGAGCAGAGGAGGAGGAGGGAAAGAGCGGUGAUUAAUUAACAGGAAAAGUUAAUAUUAUAGUAAAAAAAACAUAAUUUACCUGGUCGGGAACUGACGGGGGUUUUAUGAAAACUAAGUUACAUCGGUUUUGGUCAGGUUUUUUGUUCGGUGAACGGCCAUGUUUGGCGUGCACAUUCACAGACGGGAUUCAAGAUGGCGAGCCAGACCUAGACCUUCAAUUCAUCUUCUCCAUUGCAUCAGGGAGGGACUCUCCCGCGUGAGGUCCAGGCUUGUGGCUUUUGGCAUUUGGGGCUUUAGAGAAGAAGAGGCCCAGGCCAAAGAGGGUGAAGGGCAACACGAGGUGACCAAAGGACGCAAUGUGGGGUCACGCUGGGGCUCUUCCUUCUCUGUGUGCUGCGUGCCCCAGUGCUCUGGAGGCCAGAGCCUGAUUACUGCUCUGGGAUCCAGGCGCAGAGCGUUUUCAUUAGGGAGAGGGCCAAGAUCAUCCAGGAAGGUUCCGGCCCAUUAAUACAUUUGAAACAGCGAAUGAAAGGAGGGGGCUGUUGAGAGGGUUUUUGGGGGGUGUAUGGAGUUAUUUUGAAAGAGGAGAACUCUGUGGAACAACGAUGAGAGCUUUGGUGAAUAAAUACCCUGUGGAUCAUCUUAACCCCACAGUACUCUUCCCCCCCACCCCUCCGCUCUUGUCUCUAAGAUCUGCGGCCAAUUUUCCUGUAAUUUGGAAUAAAUUGUUUGUGAAAUCCAUGUCGAUGCUUCCAC
Long non-coding RNA from Xiphophorus couchianus (Monterrey platyfish), 791 nucleotides. RefSeq lists it as uncharacterized. Lineage: Eukaryota; Metazoa; Chordata; Actinopteri; Cyprinodontiformes; Poeciliidae. The record is from RefSeq and is a predicted model, not a curated record. The transcript has 3 exons.